CGAAUGAAGCGGCAAGAGCCCAAAUUUGAAAUCGGGCAACCGAGUUGUAAUUUGGAGACGGGACACUAGAGAGGAGGAAGGCGAUUAAGUGCCUUGGAACAGGCUGCCGUAGAGGGUGAGAGCCCCGUGAAUCGCUGGAGACCGAUCGAUUAGUGCCCGCCGAAGAGUCGAGUUGUUUGGGAAUGCAGCUCUAAGCGGGUGGUAUAUUCCAUCUAAGGCUAAAUAUUAGCGAGAGACCGAUAGCAAACAAGUACAGUGAUGGAAAGAUGAAAAGAACUUUGGAAAGAGAGUGAAAUAGUACGUGAAAUUGUUGAAAGGGAAGGGUAUUUGAUCCGACAUGGUGUUUAGCAGCGGCCCGUUCCUCGUGGAUGGGUGCACCUGGUUUACACUGGGCCAGCAUCGGUUCUGGGAGCCAUAUACGGGGUUCGUGAAUGUGGCCCUUCGAUUCUGUCGGAGGGUGUUAUAGCGCGGACAUCUUGUGGCUAGCCG
This 489-nucleotide ribosomal RNA is filed under the name Brettanomyces bruxellensis. RNAcentral describes it as "eukaryotic LSU rRNA". It matches the Rfam family "Eukaryotic large subunit ribosomal RNA", at positions 90 to 592 of the family's 3401-position model. The record is from RNAcentral. Lineage: Eukaryota; Fungi; Ascomycota; Pichiomycetes; Pichiales; Pichiaceae.